This 469-nucleotide ribosomal RNA is filed under the name uncultured bacterium. RNAcentral's name for it is "partial 16S ribosomal RNA". It matches the Rfam family "Bacterial small subunit ribosomal RNA", at positions 28 to 507 of the family's 1533-position model. The record is from RNAcentral.
GACGAACGCUGGCGGCGUGCUUAACACAUGCAAGUCGAACGGAAAGGCCCUGCUUGCAGGGUGCUCGAGUGGCGAACGGGUGAGUAACACGUGGGUGAUCUGCCCCUUACUUUGGGAUAAGCCUGGGAAACUGGGUCUAAUACUGGAUAGGACCAUGCUGUAGGUGGUGUGGUGGAAAGAUUAGUUUCGGUAAGGGAUGAGCUCGCGGCCUAUCAGCUUGUUGGUGGGGUAAUGGCCUACCAAGGCGUCGACGGGUAGCCGGCCUGAGAGGGUGGACGGCCACAUUGGGACUGGGAUACGGCCCAGACUCCUACGGGAGGCAGCAGUGGGGAAUAUUGCACAAUGGGCGCAAGCCUGAUGCAGCGACGCCGCGUGGGGGAUGACGGCCUUCGGGUUGUAAACUCCUUUCAGCCAUGACGAAGCCCUUGUGGUGACGGUAGUGGUAGAAGAAGCACCGGCUAACUACGUG